This 801-nucleotide long non-coding RNA is filed under the name Gopherus agassizii (Agassiz's desert tortoise). Its description in RNAcentral is "lncRNA (ENSGAGG00000009560.1)". The record is from RNAcentral. Lineage: Eukaryota; Metazoa; Chordata; Testudines; Testudinidae.
UGUCUGCAGCACGGGGUAGACAGCCCUCGAUUAGCACAGAGAGCUGCUGGGAGAGCUACAGGAGGUGGCUCGGGUGAGGAGCAGCCGAGCCCACGAGGAAUUCCUCGAGACUGGAGUAUUCGUAUAGAGACAGCCAAGGCUGAGGAAGCUAUCCAGCUAGAGGACUGCUCUCACACCGCUGCGGGAGGAGGAUAUGGCUCUGUCCCAGGGAGGACACUGGCAGCAGGUUACUUCAGUUAGUCAGGGCAGGGCUAGGAGCCCCUGGGAGCAGAGACCCAGAGAUACCCAAGGUCCCACAGGAAGUGUGUAGCACAUCUGGGCACUGAACCCUGGUCUCACAAGGCCUAGUGCACUAACCACUGGACAAAGCUGCCUUUCUGUCUUAGUAGGCCAGGAGCUUUGGAAAAUUCCACCAAGUGCAUCUUCAGUGCCUGGUACUUUUUCAAAUCUGACCCUCCUUUGCUGCUAGGAGGUUGUGGUCCCUGGAACACAGCGGGAGCUCGGCGAUUGUUCUUGCUUUAAUCUGAGCUCAGCUGCUGAAAUCUUUCUUUUCGGUCACUUUUCGAGUUUGCUGAUACGUGGCCUGGCUUUUGAGUUGUUCUCCGCAAAGCUCAGUGUGACAGCACCAUUGCUGGUAUGUGGCUAACCCUGUGGGCCCAGGGAUGUGCAGCCGGAGCCACAAUGUGAACCACUGCCUCAUACUGAUUCCCCAACAGCCGAUGACAAUAUUUCAGCAGAUCCCUGGGAUCCUGUCUCCGUUCGCUCAGCCUGUAAGGCCAGGACACGUCCGAGAAGGUAGGA